CCUGAACUGCACAGAACUGAACGAGGGAAGCAGAGAGCCUUCAGAUUCUCCUUGUUUACUGGAAGCAACAGAAAUAAAUGGCUCCCAAGAAGAUAAAGGAAGACAAGAAACAGCCUAAGAUAAGCAGUUUUGUGAAGAAGGAAAAUG
Molecule: long non-coding RNA, 147 nt
Organism: Cyprinodon tularosa
Lineage: Eukaryota; Metazoa; Chordata; Actinopteri; Cyprinodontiformes; Cyprinodontidae
Exons: 3
Source: RefSeq, a predicted model, not a curated record